AUUGAACGCUGGCGGCAGGCCUAACACAUGCAAGUCGAACGGUAACAGGAAACAGCUUGCUGUUUCGCUGACGAGUGGCGGACGGGUGAGUAAUGUCUGGGAAACUGCCUGAUGGAGGGGGAUAACUACUGGAAACGGUAGCUAAUACCGCAUAACGUCGCAAGACCAAAGAGGGGGACCUUCGGGCCUCUUGCCAUCGGAUGUGCCCAGAUGGGAUUAGCUAGUAGGUGGGGUAACGGCUCACCUAGGCGACGAUCCCUAGCUGGUCUGAGAGGAUGACCAGCCACACUGGAACUGAGACACGGUCCAGACUCCUACGGGAGGCAGCAGUGGGGAAUAUUGCACAAUGGGCGCAAGCCUGAUGCAGCCAUGCCGCGUGUAGGAAGAAGGCCUUCGGGUUGUAAAGUACUUUCAUCGGGGAUGAAGGGAGUAUAGUUAAUACCUUUGCUCAUUAACGUUACCCUCAGAAGAAGCACCGGCUAACUCCGUG
Molecule: ribosomal RNA, 490 nt
Filed under: uncultured bacterium
Lineage: Bacteria
Description: partial 16S ribosomal RNA
Rfam family: Bacterial small subunit ribosomal RNA
Source: RNAcentral